ACAAAGGCCCUUCUAAGGGCCACCCUUUCACCUAAACGAGCAAAAU
Tetraodon nigroviridis (spotted green pufferfish) is the source of this 46-nucleotide non-coding RNA. NCBI's taxonomy places the organism in Eukaryota, Metazoa, Chordata, Actinopteri, Tetraodontiformes, Tetraodontidae. The record is from Rfam.